AUGUCUCCAAUAAAUUUUGGUGUCACUACCCUGAUCCCCAAAAUAGUUGGGACGGACAUUGGACACUUCAGACCUAUCACGGUGAUCAACGUACUUGAACGCAUCUUCUCAAAAGUCUACGCGAGACGACUAGCCCCUAUAGCGGAGCGGCUGGAUCACCCCCUCCAAACAACAUUUCUGAAGGGACGGCAGAUCCAUGACAGGAUCCUGGCCCUUCAUGAGAUUAUCCAUGAGGUUAGGACACAUGGACAUAAGGGCGUUUUCCUCAAGUUGGACUUCCAGAAGUCCUAUGAUCAUAUGGACUGGUCCUUCUUGUUGUUAGUCCUUUAG
Molecule: ribosomal RNA, 330 nt
Filed under: Triticum aestivum (bread wheat)
Lineage: Eukaryota; Viridiplantae; Streptophyta; Magnoliopsida; Poales; Poaceae
Description: partial small subunit ribosomal RNA
Source: RNAcentral